CCCUUAGAUGUUCUGGGCCGCACGCGCGCUACACUGAUGCAUUCAACAAGCCUAGCCUUGACCGAGAGGUCCGGGUAAUCUUUGAAACUGCAACGUGAUGGGGCUAGAUUAUUGCAAUUAUUAAUCUUCAACGAGGAAUGCCUAGUAAGCGUGAUUCAUCAAAUCGCGUUGAUUACGUCCCUGCCCUUUGUACACACCGCCCGUCGCUCCUACCGAUUGAAUGUGUUGGUGAGGAGCUCGGAUUGGCAGCAGUUGGUGGUUCGCCACCGGCUAUUGCUGAGAAGUCCUCCAAACCGCCCCAUUUAGAGGAAGGAGAAGUCGUAACA
This 326-nucleotide ribosomal RNA is filed under the name uncultured eukaryote. Its description in RNAcentral is "partial 18S ribosomal RNA". It matches the Rfam family "Eukaryotic small subunit ribosomal RNA", at positions 1470 to 1796 of the family's 1831-position model. The record is from RNAcentral.